UGUUCCAACAUACGCCAUACAUAAAAAAGGAAACUCAACACAUACAAGGUAUUUCUAGACAAAGCUUUCAUUUCAAUCAUCUUUCCUGUCAUUUAAAAAUCAUCAUUUUAAGAGAAAAUCCUGAAAUCUUCACGGCAACUCCAGGGAGGGAGAUUUCUGCCAAGUUGAAAGACAAGCCUUUUAAUUAGACAAAGCAAGACUCAAGAAGGAACCAUCAGUGCCCACCAGCAAAGCGGCAGUGCAGACUCCCCGCCUAGUGCCAGCCUGGCAAUCCACGCUGCUAUGGCAAAGGCAAACAAGAAGAGCUGCUACGCUGAGGCUAGCUUGGGAAAUUUACACCAUCCCGAGGGGCCAUCUUCUCACAGUGCUGGCAGGCAGGCAGCGUGCAGCUAAACUUGAGAAGGAAUGCGUGUACCCAGACCCUCUGGAGUAUGGCAGAUACAUCAUUAUAAAGGUAUUAUUUACACUUUCAAUGCAGAACCAGCUCACACAUCAUGUUUGAAUAGAACAGAACAGACUAUUUUAGUUGGAAGGGACCUAUGAUGAUCAUUUAAUUCA
Molecule: long non-coding RNA, 558 nt
Organism: Falco peregrinus (peregrine falcon)
Lineage: Eukaryota; Metazoa; Chordata; Aves; Falconiformes; Falconidae
Exons: 3
Source: RefSeq, a predicted model, not a curated record